This is a long non-coding RNA of Eptesicus fuscus (big brown bat), 995 nucleotides long. RefSeq lists it as uncharacterized. Lineage: Eukaryota; Metazoa; Chordata; Mammalia; Chiroptera; Vespertilionidae. The record is from RefSeq and is a predicted model, not a curated record. The transcript is spliced from 2 exons.
GGGAUGGAGGCGGAGGGAGCCCGGCCACCCGCAGCCUGCGAGCCCCGGGCCGGUUACACUCGUUCCCGGGAGGCGCUGGGAACCGACCGCCCGAGCCGCUUCCCGGAGAGCGCAGCCGACGGGCCGGGGACUGCGAGCCUCCGCCCCCGGGCGCGGGCGCGGGCUGGGCCGGCCCUCCUUUAACGCCCGCGGGGUGAGGGCCCCCGAUUGUGCUGCUGGCAGAACAGUAGCGCUCCCCAGUUUCUGGCAAAACAAGAGCUGGUGAAGAUAUGGAGAAAUGGGAAUGCUCGGGCAGUGUUGGUGGAGAUGGAAAAUGGUGCAGCUGCUAUGGAAAUCAAACAGUAAUGCAGUGCAUCCGAAAAUUUAAAAGAAGUAGCCUUGUGACCUAAGAAUGCCACUUCUGAGUAUAUACCCAGCAGAACUGAAAGCAGGCUUUCAAAGAAGUAUUUGUACAACCAUUUCAUGGCAGCAGGAUUCACAAUGCUUAAAACACAGGAGCAACCCACGUGCCCAUCGACCACUGGAUGGCUUAGCAAACUGUGCCAUAUUAUACAAUGAAGAAUUCAGCCUUAGGAAGGAAAGAAAUUCUGCAAUAUAUUACCACAUGGACGAACCUUGAGAACAUUAUGCUAAGUGAAAGAAACAGUCACAAAAAGACAAAUACUGGGUGAUUCCACUCAUAUGAGGUACUUGGAGUAGUCAAAAUCACAGAGGCAGAAACCAUAAUGGUGGUUGCCAGGGGCUAGGGCAAGUUUGGAGAGUUAUUGUUUAAGGAGUAUAGAGUUUCCGAUUUACAAAAUGAAAAGAGCUCUAGAGAUAGCCCUAGUCAGUUUGGCUCAGUGGAUAGCAUGUUGGCCUGCAGACUGAAGGGCCCAGGGUUCGAUUCCAGUUAAGGGCACAUGCCCAGGUUGUGGGCUUGCUCUCAUCACUGAUGUUUCUAACUCUCCCUCUCCCUUCCUCUCUGAAAUAAAUAAAAAAUCUAUUUUUAGCCCUAA